This 1416-nucleotide long non-coding RNA is filed under the name Phasianus colchicus (ring-necked pheasant). Its description in RNAcentral is "lncRNA (ENSPCLG00000017655.1)". The record is from RNAcentral. Lineage: Eukaryota; Metazoa; Chordata; Aves; Galliformes; Phasianidae.
UCUGCACCGUGCGCCUUGCACUGACGUGCACCAUCACUGCCCUUUGCACGCUCACCUUGACCGACUCACUUCUGUGCACACUCGCCUCACAUCAUCACUCCCUUGCACACUCAUUUAUCACCAGCAGGCGGCAUUUUUUCACGCUCACCCCUCGCACACUCAACUCGUACCACAGCCACCCUUUACACACUCCCUUCUGACUGGCAGCACCAUUUGCACACUCACUUCCCACUCUCAGCGCGGCCCUUUGCACACUCACCCCCUCGCACACUCCUCAACAGCGCCUUUUGCACUCAUUUCUCACCACCAUCCCCUUUGCACACUCACUCUCCACCAUCAGACACUUUUGCACACUUGACUUCUUCCACACUCACUGUUCUCUACCAUCCCCCUAUGCACACUCACCCGCUUGCACACUCAUUUUCACUAGAUGAAAGCUUGGCCCCUUGCACACUCAAUUGUAAUCACCUCUCCCCUUUGCACACUCACUCCUCACCAUCAGAUCCAUUUUCACUCUCACCAUCUUGCACACUCACUCCCCACAACAGAGCCGUUUACACGCUCACUUCUUUGCACACUCACUUUGCACCACCACCUCCCUUUCCACACUCACUCCCUGCCCUCAGAUCAAUUUACACACUUAUCCCCUUGCACACUCAAUCCCCACCAUCAGAACCCUUUGCAACCUGAUUUCCUUGCACACUCACUUUGCACCAUCACCUCCCUCUGCACACUCACUUCCUCGCCUUCAGAGCCCUUUGCACACUUUCUCAUGACCAUUAGAUCCAUUUGCAUCCUUACUCCAUUGCACACUCACUUCUCACCACCACCUCCCUCUGCACACACACUCCCACACACUCACCCCCCACCUUCAGGGCCAUUUGCACACUCAUCACCUCGCACACUCCUUCCUCACACUAAGAGCCCUUUGCACACUCGCACAGUGACCCCCUUGCACACUCACUUCUCCCCACCACCUCACUCUGCACGCAACCUCUUGCACACUCACUCCCUAUCUCCAGAGCCGCUUGCACCCUCGCCUCCUUACACACUCACUCACAACAUUCAGAGCCCUUUACACACUCACUCGCGACCAUCAGGUCCGUUUGCACGCUUACCCCUUGCACACUCACUUCUCCCCACCACCUCACUCUGCACGCAACCUCUUGCACACUCACUCCCUAUCUCCAGAGCCGCUUGCACCCUCGCCUCCUUACACACUCACUCACAACAUUCAGAGCCCUUUGCACACUCACUCAUGAUCAGAUCCACGUGCACGCUUACUCCCUCACACACUCACUUCACCCCACCACCUCACUCUGCGCACACCCUCUCGCACGCUCACCUCUCGCAACCGACCUUUGCACACUCACCCCCCCCCACUCGCACGCUCCCCUCCUCACCAUCGGAGCCCUU